AGUCCACAUUUUAGGUAAGAGUUCACACAUGCAUUGCCCUACACUAUCAUUGCUUUCUAUUGAGUCCAUGCUACAUUUGGAGACUCACAUGUUGACCUUCCAACAUUCUAAUAGGCCAUCACUUUUAAACAAGCAUUGAAUCAAUGCCUCAGUCACUACUUUCUAGUUGCCAAAUGGGAGGAAAGAAAUAGGAACCAAAAACCCUAGAAGGAAAAAAAAGAGAAAUAGAAACCCUAGUCAGAGGAUGGAUGAAAA
Molecule: long non-coding RNA, 255 nt
Filed under: Elaeis guineensis (African oil palm)
Lineage: Eukaryota; Viridiplantae; Streptophyta; Magnoliopsida; Arecales; Arecaceae
Description: long non-coding RNA (EGUI_LNC014759)
Source: RNAcentral